UCUGGCCCUAGAGACAUUGCAGGUGUGGCUGCUGUGUCAUAUGUAUAUCACUAGGUGGCAGAGAGGAGAGAGGCUAAUGACUACACUCAGUGUUCUGACCUAAGAACAUCUGAAUGAUUACUAUGCAAACAUU
Molecule: small nucleolar RNA, 133 nt
Organism: Mastomys coucha (southern multimammate mouse)
Lineage: Eukaryota; Metazoa; Chordata; Mammalia; Rodentia; Muridae
Product: small nucleolar RNA SNORA17
Exons: 1
Source: RefSeq, a predicted model, not a curated record